GUGGCUUCCGGCUCGGCGUGCAAGAGCAACAACUGCGACACAGAAGAUUCAAAUCAAUCGUCGAUACAGCAGAAGAAAAAAUCCACCUGCAACCUAGCGCCAAACCCAGUCAGCUGCCUCUACUGUCAAUGCAUGUUCCCCUCGGACAACUUCAGGAGACUGCUAUCUCGUCGAAUGAAUUGCUCAUGACAGAUUCCGCCGCGAAGGAGUAUUUUACUGACAUUGACCUCCAUGGGAGAAAUGUUAGAAAACAGAAAAGAAAGGUGCCUCGAUUCAAAGCUAUAAUGUGGCCGGGUGAAAAACAUACAACAUACAUGGCUACAAUGACCAGUCCGUGAGUGACCAAACUAAAAGAUUUCGGUACCAUGCAGCUUCCAUCGGGAUUACCAGUGAAAAUAGAAAUCGAGCUAUUCCAUUUGUUGAACGUGAUUGUUGCAUUUGGCAACGUAUUCGCGAUAGGUGCACCCGUGAUCAACGUGAGCCACAUCAAGAAGAGCAAAGAGCGUACGACAUGCAUUAUCGAGGAUUUGUGUUUCGAUGUCCCAUCCGAGUAUGUACGACGUGGUUCCGAUUUCCAUCUUCAAAUCACCUUCGAAGAUGAGGAUGAAUUGAUGUAAUUUGCGAUUCGAGUCGCGUAGCGAGAACGACGAGGUGGAUAUAUGGGAAGCACUGAGAGUCCAACUGCCACUAACAUCUAACUUCUACGAAGGCGAUAAGUUGCGAAGGCUUGUGAAAAACACCUGCUGCACUCAAGGCCUUUUUCAUAACGAAACUCAAUUUUUGUAUUUCAACCAUGUAGUUCUGCCUAAGCUGUAGAGAAUGAGGAUGCCCGA
Toxorhynchites rutilus septentrionalis is the source of this 833-nucleotide long non-coding RNA. RefSeq lists it as uncharacterized. The record is from RefSeq and is a predicted model, not a curated record. NCBI's taxonomy places the organism in Eukaryota, Metazoa, Arthropoda, Insecta, Diptera, Culicidae. The transcript has 3 exons.